ACAAAACCUAACCUAAAAUGUGGAACAAUACAAAUUUCCACCACAGAAAACCAUCAAACAGAACUAUUCUGCAAGACAGUACCUCACCCCGGCGUCCAAGGCCAGGACCCUGCACGGUAAGCCUCAUUUAAGGAGAGGCUGAGUGUUACAGUCUUGCCAGGCAGCGGGGAACCGUGGUGAUAAGGGCAAUGAGACAGCAGCCGGAGCUCAGCAUAUUGGCGGAGUUUGGCCACACGCUUGGCAGCACGAAGAUGCCCGGACAGCACUAACUCUAAGAGGGACUUUCAAGUUCAGCUGUGAUGUCCACACAAGCAAUGCCAAACCUAGUCUGGGAGUCCAGCAUUCUGGAGCAGGAAAAAGAAGAAGGGAUCAUGUCCACCCCAGGCAGAGACGGCAAACGCCUCCUCAUCGCCACGCUUGCCUGGACCAUGCUCUGCCACAACGGGUCACACUGAGGAGUCCACUCCAGGAUGGACAGCCUUGGCCAGAAGCGCCCACACAGGAGAUCUGGUCGUCAGGAAGGCUGAAAUUCUGCUCUCUUGAAUGCAUGUCCAGAGAAUUCUGACAAGCUUUUUCCCGGACCACUCAAGGCCCCACUGUAAACAGGGAAACUCCUUGUUCUGUCCUCAUCUGAAGGGAGACUCUGGAACGCCAACAAUUCUCCCUCUAUCAAGCAUGAGACAUCCUUGUCAAGAUCUCACAGACUUCAGGGCCUUAUAGAGUGAGCAGCCAAGGGAAAAUGCUCCCAAGGAUAAGGAAACAGAGGAAUUUCAGAUUCCAUCAAAACAACCAUUAGAGUAGAUUCCAGAACAACAGCUUCCCGUGCCAGCUGGCCAUCAUGCCUGUCCAUUUUCAGAGUAAUCAACUGUAUGAAUAUAUUUUUAAAAGGUAGGUGUGAGUGAGAGCAGAUUUGGUUUCCAUUUUCCCUUUGGUAGAUAAUAAGCUAUGAAUGCUUUCUUUAAGAAUAUUUGUGAAUGUGCCCAGAGGUUAGCGAAAAAUGAGAAUAUUUGAUACAGCAAAUAAUACCAGCUUUGUGUAUUCUCCUGAAGUUUCCUAAGCUUGAACCCUAGGCUGGAAUCAUUCUCUCCUAAAAGACUACAUAAGAUGAAAGGUAGGGAAUCUUGGUAUAACCUAGGAAGUAAUGCUUACCAGCAAAUAAAGUCACUCAUCAAUUAUCUGUAGAUAAGUGGACUUUGGGGGAAAAAUUGUAUUUAAAAAAUCUCUGAGGAGCUCAAAUAGUUGACAAACCCCAAGCACGUAAGCAAGUCUUAAGAGUUUUGAUCAUUCUUCAUGACUUGCCGACAUUUAGUUUGCAUACAUUUCUACCAGACAGAGCCAUCUGGCUUUUCAGACCUCAGCCAAUGGAAAAUGGAACUUUUGAAAAAGAGAGACAGGAGCAAACAAGGACCAGGUAACAGAAGUGACAGGAGUGACAGCUAGAGAAGAAACAAAAACGACAUGAUUUAAGAAUUGUUAGCCAUGGGGCGCCUGGGUGGCUCAGUGGGUUAAGCCUCUGCCUUCAGCUCAGGUCAUGAUCUCAGGGUCCUGGGAUGGAGCCCCACAUCAGGCUCUCUACUUGGUAGGGAGCCUACUUCUCUCUCUUUCUCUGCCUGCCUCUCUGCCUACUUGUGAUCUCUGUCUGUCAAAUAAAUUAAUAAAAUCUUAAAAAAAAAAAAAAAGAAUUGUUAGCCAUAACCUAAGUGUGAUUCAUUA
This 1713-nucleotide long non-coding RNA is filed under the name Mustela putorius furo (domestic ferret). RNAcentral's name for it is "lncRNA (ENSMPUG00000024828.1)". Lineage: Eukaryota; Metazoa; Chordata; Mammalia; Carnivora; Mustelidae. The record is from RNAcentral.